RNAcentral lists this ribosomal RNA (497 nucleotides) under uncultured bacterium. RNAcentral's name for it is "partial 16S ribosomal RNA". It matches the Rfam family "Bacterial small subunit ribosomal RNA", at positions 28 to 507 of the family's 1533-position model. The record is from RNAcentral.
GAUGAACGCUGGCGGCGUGCCUAAUACAUUCAAGUCGAGCGAACAGAUUAUGAUCUUGCUCCUCUUACUUUAGCUGCUUACGUGUGAUUAACACGUUUAUAACCUACCUAUAAGACUUUGAUAACUUCGGGAAACCGGCUCUAAUACCGUAUAAUAUAUUUAACCGCAUUGUUCAAUAUUUAAAGACGUUUUUUCUGUCACUUAUAGAUUUAUCCGCGCCGCAUUAGCUAGUUGUUAAGUUAACGGCUUACAAAGGCAACGAUGCGUAUCCGACCUGAGAGGGAGAUCGGAGAAAAUGGAACUGAGAAAAGGAAAAGACGACUAAGGGAGGCAGCAGUAGGGAAUAUUACGAAAUGGGCGAAAGAAUGAAGGAGCAACGACGCGUGAGUGAUGAAGGUAUUAGGAUCGUAAAAAUCUGUUAUUAGGGAAGAAAAAAUGUGUAAGUAACUAUGCACGUAGUGACGGUAAAUAAUCAGAAAGCAACGGCUAACUACGUG